This 420-nucleotide ribosomal RNA is filed under the name uncultured bacterium. RNAcentral's name for it is "bacterial SSU rRNA". It matches the Rfam family "Bacterial small subunit ribosomal RNA", at positions 358 to 770 of the family's 1533-position model. The record is from RNAcentral.
GGAAUCUUGGACAAUGGGGGCAACCCUGAUCCAGCCAUGCCGCGUGUGUGAAGAAGGCCUUCGGGUUGUAAAGCACUUUCAGUAGGGAGGAAGGCUUGAGCUUAAUACGUUCAAGUACUUGACGUUACCUACAGAAGAAGCACCGGCUAAUUUCGUGCCAGCAGCCGCGGUAAUACGAAAGGUGCGAGCGUUAAUCGGAAUUACUGGGCGUAAAGCGCGCGUAGGCGGUUUGUUAAGUUAGAUGUGAAAGCCCUGGGCUCAACCUGGGAACUGCAUUUAAAACUGGCAGGCUAGAGUGCAGUAGAGGGAGGUGGAAUUUCCGGUGUAGCGGUGAAAUGCGUAGAGAUCGGAAGGAACACCAGUGGCGAAGGCGGCCUCCUGGACUGACACUGACGCUGAGGUGCGAAAGCGUGGGGAGCA